This 409-nucleotide unclassified non-coding RNA is filed under the name Hevea brasiliensis (rubber tree). Lineage: Eukaryota; Viridiplantae; Streptophyta; Magnoliopsida; Malpighiales; Euphorbiaceae. The record is from RNAcentral.
UUUUCUAUGCGUUAUUUCAUUAUAGUUUAUUUGUUCUAAAAAGAGUUCAAUGAUUAAUGACAUUCGCAGCAAGAGUCUUUCUCCUAAGAAGAAUGUUUAUAGCAGCAACUAAAAUUUAUCAUACUUGUCCUGCACUAAAUUGCUAAUUCAUUUUUAUAGAUAUACGCAAAGAAGAUUGAACAUAUAAAAAACCCGAGAAGUUUGAUCAUAUAACUGAAUGAAUAAAAGGAAACCCGCCAGAGAAAACUGAUUUUUAUAUUGCAUUACUGAAAAAAUUGCAAUCAAUGCACCUAAGUAGGAUUAUAUAACACUUGGAAAAAAAAGUAAUAUCCUAAACAACAACUAACUAAAAGGUUUGCAAUGCAAUAACAAAUCUUUUUUCAAUUUUAAUUCCUCCUAUACAAUAAAA